This 520-nucleotide ribosomal RNA is filed under the name uncultured bacterium. Its description in RNAcentral is "bacterial SSU rRNA". It matches the Rfam family "Bacterial small subunit ribosomal RNA", at positions 553 to 1071 of the family's 1533-position model. The record is from RNAcentral.
ACUGGGCGUAAAGGGCACGCAGGCGGACUUUUAAGUGAGGUGUGAAAUCCCCGGGCUUAACCUGGGAAUUGCAUUUCAGACUGGGGGUCUAGAGUACUUUAGGGAGGGGUAGAAUUCCACGUGUAGCGGUGAAAUGCGUAGAGAUGUGGAGGAAUACCGAAGGCGAAGGCAGCCCCUUGGGAAUGUACUGACGCUCAUGUGCGAAAGCGUGGGGAGCAAACAGGAUUAGAUACCCUGGUAGUCCACGCCGUAAACGAUGAGUGCUAGGUGUUAGACCCUUUCCGGGGUUUAGUGCCGCAGCUAACGCAUUAAGCACUCCGCCUGGGGAGUACGACCGCAAGGUUGAAACUCAAAGGAAUUGACGGGGGCCCGCACAAGCGGUGGAGCAUGUGGUUUAAUUCGAUGCAACGCGAAGAACCUUACCUACUCUUGACAUCCAGAGAACUUUCCAGAGAUGGAUUGGUGCCUUCGGGAACUCUGAGACAGGUGCUGCAUGGCUGUCGUCAGCUCGUGUCGUGAG